Molecule: ribosomal RNA, 1215 nt
Filed under: Klebsiella pneumoniae
Lineage: Bacteria; Pseudomonadati; Pseudomonadota; Gammaproteobacteria; Enterobacterales; Enterobacteriaceae
Also listed under: 3 other names
Description: partial 23S ribosomal RNA
Rfam family: Bacterial large subunit ribosomal RNA
Source: RNAcentral
GGUUAAGCGACUAAGCGUACACGGUGGAUGCCCUGGCAGUCAGAGGCGAUGAAGGACGUGCUAAUCUGCGAAAAGCGUCGGUAAGGUGAUAUGAACCGUUAUAGCCGGCGAUGUCCGAAUGGGGAAACCCAGUGCAAUUCGUUGCACUAUCGUUAACUGAAUACAUAGGUUAACGAGGCGAACCGGGGGAACUGAAACAUCUAAGUACCCCGAGGAAAAGAAAUCAACCGAGAUUCCCCCAGUAGCGGCGAGCGAACGGGGAGCAGCCCAGAGUCUGAAUCAGCUUGUGUGUUAGUGGAACGGUCUGGAAAGUCCGACGGUACAGGGUGAUAGUCCCGUACACCAAAAUGCACAGGCUGUGAACUCGAAGAGUAGGGCGGGACACGUGGUAUCCUGUCUGAAUAUGGGGGGACCAUCCUCCAAGGCUAAAUACUCCUGACUGACCGAUAGUGAACCAGUACCGUGAGGGAAAGGCGAAAAGAACCCCGGCGAGGGGAGUGAAAAAGAACCUGAAACCGUGUACGUACAAGCAGUGGGAGCACCUUCGGGUGUGACUGCGUACCUUUUGUAUAAUGGGUCAGCGACUUAUAUUCUGUAGCAAGGUUAACCGUAUAGGGGAGCCGCAGGGAAACCGAGUCUUAACUGGGCGUUAAGUUGCAGGGUAUAGACCCGAAACCCGGUGAUCUAGCCAUGGGCAGGUUGAAGGUUGGGUAACACUAACUGGAGGACCGAACCGACUAAUGUUGAAAAAUUAGCGGAUGACUUGUGGCUGGGGGUGAAAGGCCAAUCAAACCGGGAGAUAGCUGGUUCUCCCCGAAAGCUAUUUAGGUAGCGCCUCGUGAACUCAUCUUCGGGGGUAGAGCACUGUUUCGGCUAGGGGGUCAUCCCGACUUACCAACCCGAUGCAAACUACGAAUACCGAAGAAUGUUAUCACGGGAGACACACGGCGGGUGCUAACGUCCGUCGUGAAGAGGGAAACAACCCAGACCGCCAGCUAAGGUCCCAAAGUCAUGGUUAAGUGGGAAACGAUGUGGGAAGGCACAGACAGCCAGGAUGUUGGCUUAGAAGCAGCCAUCAUUUAAAGAAAGCGUAAUAGCUCACUGGUCGAGUCGGCCUGCGCGGAAGAUGUAACGGGGCUAAACCAUGCACCGAAGCUGCGGCAGCGACACUAUGUGUUGUUGGGUAGGGGAGCGUUCUGUAAGCCUGCGAAGGUG